Meriones unguiculatus (Mongolian gerbil) is the source of this 562-nucleotide long non-coding RNA. RefSeq lists it as uncharacterized. The transcript is spliced from 3 exons. Lineage: Eukaryota; Metazoa; Chordata; Mammalia; Rodentia; Muridae. The record is from RefSeq and is a predicted model, not a curated record.
AGUGUCAUCAAUUCCUGAUCUUUCGCUCUAUGAAAUUUUCUCUCAUUUCCUAUUUCCACCCUACGUAUUACAUUGCUUAUUUAAGUUCUUUUCUGCCCCACAGCUUCUUCUUCAGCCCACCAGAAUGUAAGGACUUGAAUCUUUUUGCUUCAUUGCUGUAUUCUCAGCAUCCAGAAUCAUCUCUGGCAUGAGUAGACCUUUGAUACAUGUUUAUUUCCAUAUUCACAGCCUCCUCUCUGUUCCCAUCUGCCCUCUGGAUCUGUUUUGAGCAGCUCUGUGUUGGGCCGAGGGCUAGACACUGAGGUUGAAUAAGUCCUGGUCACAUUGUGUGUGGAGACUACAGACUGUCAGCAUGUAUGUAUGUCAGCAUGUAUGUACGACAUUUAUGCCUGUUAGAGCAGGUGUUCAAGAUUUUACCCACGAGAAUCUUCAGGCAGGAAAACAGACUUAAUAUUUCACCUCAUCCGUUCUUAACCACCGGAAGAGAGACCCCAAGACUGUGAGCGGCAGUGGCUGCGGAGUCCCUGACCACCGGAAUUGGCUGUGGCCACUCCCUCCUGAA